CAUAACAAAUAACUACUCGGAAGACGUGUGCACGGAGGGAACCAUUAAUCAAUUGGCAUACAUUGUACAAGAAGAAGAAGCAGGUGCAGUAGGUCGGUCCCCCACGCAAAUUGUCUCAAAACCUCCCAAUUUGCAUUGUCUCUU
This is a non-coding RNA of Caenorhabditis elegans, 144 nucleotides long. NCBI's taxonomy places the organism in Eukaryota, Metazoa, Nematoda, Chromadorea, Rhabditida, Rhabditidae. The record is from Ensembl.